Brassica oleracea var. oleracea is the source of this 151-nucleotide long non-coding RNA. RefSeq lists it as uncharacterized. The record is from RefSeq and is a predicted model, not a curated record. Lineage: Eukaryota; Viridiplantae; Streptophyta; Magnoliopsida; Brassicales; Brassicaceae. The transcript is spliced from 3 exons.
CCCAAAUUCACAGUUGUCGUGAAGAAACUUAGGUUUAACAGAAAUUCACAUCAAGAUUACAUCCAUGGAUUAGCAAGGAAAAUUGGAGUUUCUUCAAUUGUCAGACUCUCAAGUGGCGAUGUUGAAGGCGAGUUUAUGCUCUGUAACGGUG